CCUGUGAGGGCUUCACCCUGGACUAUGGAGCAGCUGUCCAAGGGUGAAUCCUCGCUGACC
Molecule: microRNA precursor, 60 nt
Organism: Bos grunniens (domestic yak)
Lineage: Eukaryota; Metazoa; Chordata; Mammalia; Artiodactyla; Bovidae
Source: Ensembl